RNAcentral lists this ribosomal RNA (2893 nucleotides) under Klebsiella pneumoniae. RNAcentral's name for it is "23S ribosomal RNA". It matches the Rfam family "Bacterial large subunit ribosomal RNA". The record is from RNAcentral. Lineage: Bacteria; Pseudomonadati; Pseudomonadota; Gammaproteobacteria; Enterobacterales; Enterobacteriaceae.
GGUUAAGCGACUAAGCGUACACGGUGGAUGCCCCGGCAGUCAGAGGCGAUGAAGGACGUGCUAAUCUGCGAAAAGCGUCGGUAAGGUGAUAUGAACCGUUAUAACCGGCGAUGUCCGAAUGGGGAAACCCAGUGCAAUUCGUUGCACUAUCGUUAACUGAAUACAUAGGUUAACGAGGCGAACCGGGGAACUGAAACAUCUAAGUACCCCGAGGAAAAGAAAUCAACCGAGAUUCCCCAGUAGCGGCGAGCGAACGGGGAGCAGCCCAGAGUCUGAAUCAGCUUGUGUGUUAGUGGAACGGUCUGGAAAGUCCGACGGUACAGGGUGAUAGUCCCGUACACCAAAAUGCACAGGCUGUGAACUCGAAGAGUAGGGCGGGACACGUGGUAUCCUGUCUGAAUAUGGGGGACCAUCCUCCAAGGCUAAAUACUCCUGACUGACCGAUAGUGAACCAGUACCGUGAGGGAAAGGCGAAAAGAACCCCGGCGAGGGAGUGAAAAAGAACCUGAAACCGUGUACGUACAAGCAGUGGGAGCACCUUCGGGUGUGACUGCGUACCUUUGUAUAAUGGGUCAGCGACUUAUAUUCUGUAGCAAGGUUAACCGUAUAGGGGAGCCGCAGGAAACCGAGUCUUAACUGGGCGUUAAGUUGCAGGGUAUAGACCCGAAACCCGGUGAUCUAGCCAUGGGCAGGUUGAAGGUUGGGUAACACUAACUGGAGGACCGAACCGACUAAUGUUGAAAAAUUAGCGGAUGACUUGUGGCUGGGGUGAAAGGCCAAUCAAACCGGGAGAUAGCUGGUUCUCCCCGAAAGCUAUUUAGGUAGCGCCUCGUGAACUCAUCUUCGGGGUAGAGCACUGUUUCGGCUAGGGGUCAUCCCGACUUACCAACCCGAUGCAAACUACGAAUACCGAAGAAUGUUAUCACGGGAGACACACGGCGGGUGCUAACGUCCGUCGUGAAGAGGGAAACAACCCAGACCGCCAGCUAAGGUCCCAAAGUCAUGGUUAAGUGGGAAACGAUGUGGGAAGGCACAGACAGCCGGGAUGUUGGCUUAGAAGCAGCCAUCAUUUAAAGAAAGCGUAAUAGCUCACUGGUCGAGUCGGCCUGCGCGGAAGAUGUAACGGGGCUAAACCAUGCACCGAAGCUGCGGCAGCGACACUAUGUGUUGUUGGGUAGGGGAGCGUUCUGUAAGCCUGCGAAGGUGUGCUGUGAGGCAUGCUGGAGGUAUCAGAAGUGCGAAUGCUGACAUAAGUAACGAUAAAGCGGGUGAAAAGCCCGCUCGCCGGAAGACCAAGGGUUCCUGUCCAACGUUAAUCGGGGCAGGGUGAGUCGACCCUAAGGCGAGGCCGAAAGGCGUAGUCGAUGGGAAACAGGUUAAUAUUCCUGUACUUGGUGUUACUGCGAAGGGGGACGGAGAAGGCUAUGUUAGCCGGGCGACGGUUGUCCCGGUUUAAGCAUGUAGGCUGAUUGUCCGAGGCAAAUCCGGAUAAUCAAGGCUGAGGUGUGAUGACGAGGCACUACGGUGCUGAAGUAACAAAUGCCCUGCUUCCGAGGAAAAGCCUCUAAGCAUCAGGUAACAUUAAAUCGUACCCCCAAACCGACACAGGUGGUCAGGUAGAGAAUACCAAGGCGCUUGAGAGAACUCGGGUGAAGGAACUAGGCAAAAUGGUGCCGUAACUUCGGGAGAAGGCACGCUGGUGUGUAGGUGAAGUCCCUGCGGAUGGAGCUGAGACCAGUCGAAGAUACCAGCUGGCUGCAACUGUUUAUUAAAAACACAGCACUGUGCAAACACGAAAGUGGACGUAUACGGUGUGACGCCUGCCCGGUGCCGGAAGGUUAAUUGAUGGGGUUAUCCGUAAGGAGAAGCUCUUGAUCGAAGCCCCGGUAAACGGCGGCCGUAACUAUAACGGUCCUAAGGUAGCGAAAUUCCUUGUCGGGUAAGUUCCGACCUGCACGAAUGGCGUAAUGAUGGCCGGGCUGUCUCCACCCGAGACUCAGUGAAAUUGAACUCGCUGUGAAGAUGCAGUGUACCCGCGGCAAGACGGAAAGACCCCGUGAACCUUUACUAUAGCUUGACACUGAACAUUGAGCCUUGAUGUGUAGGAUAGGUGGGAGGCUUUGAAGCGUGGACGCCAGUCUGCGUGGAGCCAACCUUGAAAUACCACCCUUUAAUGUUUGAUGUUCUAACGUUGGCCCCUGACCGGGGUUGCGGACAGUGUCUGGUGGGUAGUUUGACUGGGGCGGUCUCCUCCCAAAGCGUAACGGAGGAGCACGAAGGUUAGCUAAUCCUGGUCGGACAUCAGGAGGUUAGUGCAAUGGCAUAAGCUAGCUUGACUGCGAGCGUGACGGCGCGAGCAGGUGCGAAAGCAGGUCAUAGUGAUCCGGUGGUUCUGAAUGGAAGGGCCAUCGCUCAACGGAUAAAAGGUACUCCGGGGAUAACAGGCUGAUACCGCCCAAGAGUUCAUAUCGACGGCGGUGUUUGGCACCUCGAUGUCGGCUCAUCACAUCCUGGGGCUGAAGUAGGUCCCAAGGGUAUGGCUGUUCGCCAUUUAAAGUGGUACGCGAGCUGGGUUUAGAACGUCGUGAGACAGUUCGGUCCCUAUCUGCCGUGGGCGCUGGAGAAUUGAGGGGGCUGCUCCUAGUACGAGAGGACCGGAGUGGACGCAUCACUGGUGUUCGGGUUGUCAUGCCAAUGGCACUGCCCGGUAGCUAAAUGCGGAAGAGAUAAGUGCUGAAAGCAUCUAAGCACGAAACUUGCCCCGAGAUGAGUUCUCCCUGAGACUUUAAGUCUCCUGAAGGAACGUUAAAGACGAUGACGUUGAUAGGCCGGGUGUGUAAGCGCAGCGAUGCGUUGAGCUAACCGGUACUAAUGAACCGUGAGGCUUAACCUU